CGGCAGCGCGGGAGCAAUCCUGGCGGCGAGUGGCGAACGGGUGAGUAAUACAUCGGAACGUGCCCAAUCGUGGGGGAUAACGCAGCGAAAGCUGUGCUAAUACCGCAUACGAUCUACGGAUGAAAGCAGGGGAUCGCAAGACCUUGCGCGAAUGGAGCGGCCGAUGGCAGAUUAGGUAGUUGGUGAGGUAAAGGCUCACCAAGCCUUCGAUCUGUAGCUGGUCUGAGAGGACGACCAGCCACACUGGGACUGAGACACGGCCCAGACUCCUACGGGAGGCAGCAGUGGGGAAUUUUGGACAAUGGGCGAAAGCCUGAUCCAGCCAUGCCGCGUGCAGGAUGAAGGCCUUCGGGUUGUAAACUGCUUUUGUACGGAACGAAACGGUCUUUUCUAAUACAGAAGGCUAAUGACGGUACCGUAAGAAUAAGCACCGGCUAACUACGUGCCAGCAGCCGCGGUAAUACGUAGGGUGCAAGCGUUAAUCGGAAUUACUGGGCGUAAAGCGUGCGCAGGCGGUUAUGUAAGACAGUUGUGAAAUCCCCGGGCUCACCUGGGAACUGCAUCUGUGACUGGCGGGCUAGAGUAUGGCAGAGGGGGGUAGAAUUCCACGUGUA
RNAcentral lists this ribosomal RNA (614 nucleotides) under uncultured Variovorax sp. Its description in RNAcentral is "bacterial SSU rRNA". It matches the Rfam family "Bacterial small subunit ribosomal RNA", at positions 67 to 677 of the family's 1533-position model. Lineage: Bacteria; Pseudomonadati; Pseudomonadota; Betaproteobacteria; Burkholderiales; Comamonadaceae. The record is from RNAcentral.